RNAcentral lists this ribosomal RNA (429 nucleotides) under Gemmatimonadota bacterium. RNAcentral's name for it is "Gemmatimonadetes bacterium partial 16S ribosomal RNA". It matches the Rfam family "Bacterial small subunit ribosomal RNA", at positions 355 to 776 of the family's 1533-position model. The record is from RNAcentral. Lineage: Bacteria; Pseudomonadati; Gemmatimonadota.
UAGGGAAUCUUCGGCAAUGGACGAAAGUCUGACCGAGCAACGCCGCGUGAGUGAAGAAGGUUUUCGGAUCGUAAAACUCUGUUGUUAGAGAAGAACAAGGACGUUAGUAACUGAACGUCCCCUGACGGUAUCUAACCAGAAAGCCACGGCUAACUACGUGCCAGCAGCCGCGGUAAUACGUAGGUGGCAAGCGUUGUCCGGAUUUAUUGGGCGUAAAGCGAGCGCAGGCGGUUUCUUAAGUCUGAUGUGAAACCCCCCGGCUCAACCGGGGAGGGUCAUUGGAAACUGGGGGACUUGAGUGCAGAAGAGGAGGGUGGAAUUCCAUGUGUAGCGGUGAAAUGCGGAGAUAUAGGGAGGACCACAAGUGGCGAAGGCGGCUCUCUGGUCUGUAACUGACGCUGAGGCUCGAAAGCGUGGGGAGCAAACAGG